AUCAUAGAUAACUGUCUAACUAGCAAGCUAGAUGUAAACCAGCUAAAAUAGCAUACUGUGCUGACAACGAUUUAAAUGUUCGUUUAGUCAAAGACUGUUUUUCUGGGGAUUAUAGAAUGAAUAACUUUGGUUAAGUCGCCUAGGAGCUGUCAUGAACAGAGAGGCGUUUUUCAUUUUUUUAAUCGUUUGUGUCAUUUAUUUUAGCAUGUCAGGGAAGAAACAGAAGAGCCUCCUUUCCUUCUGGGAAGCCAAGGCUCAGAAAACAAAGGCAGGGAGGUCAGUUGAUGUGCCAGAGACUGAGAGGGAGACUGUGACAUCAGGUGAGAUAGUGAAUGUGCAGGAAGUGACAGAAGAGGAGACAGGGGAGGUGGACAAAGAGACAGUGGAAGACGAAGGAAGAAUGGAGGUGAAUGCAGGAGGUGGAGUGCCAGAAGAGGACAGGGUGAUGGAAGAAGGCAGGGUGACCGAGGAAGUCAGUGCAGAGGUCAGGGUAGUGGUGAAAAAAAAGGCCUUAACUGAAGCUGCCACCUACCAAUCCACAUUCAAAAGUGAAUGGACUGCAAAAUGGCCAUUUAUAACUGUAGGCACCACCAACUCCUACUACUGGUGCUCAGUAUGUAGGCAGGAAAAUUCCUGUGGCCAUCAAGGUGUUGCAGAUGUGCAGCGACACAUUAAGAGUAAAGCACACCAGUCUAAAGAGCAGGCACUUCAGUCCACAAGUAGGAUUGGACAGUUUUAUCCCCCAGUGACUGUUGGUGGCAUGACUGCACAAGAAUCCAAGGUAUUGUCCUGGUCAAAAGGACUACAUGAAGCUCAGAUUCUUGCAUGAAAUCUUGUUUUUCAUCAUUUCUGAAUAUAAAAAAAAAAAAAAUAUUACCAUAUAUUUUAAAUAAUUAUGAACAAUUACCUGGUAGCUGAUUGAGUUGUGUCUGUGUUUACCAUAAAUUACCUCUACAAAUAAAUUUGUCUUGAAUGUCCUUUCUGCUGAUAACAUGGUUAUCAUUCUUUUCUGUUUAAGACAAGGAGAGCUGAGGUAAAAGUGGCUGUGGCCAUGGUGCAGCACAAUAUGCCAUUUGCCAUGGCAGAACAUUUUAGUCCUUUGUUAAGGAAUUGCUUUAGCGACUCCCCCACAGCACAGCAAUAUAAGUGUGCCAGCACAAAAACAACUUGCAUAAUAAAUGAAGCUGUGGCACUGCAUUUCAGAGAGGAGCUGGUCACCAAAAUGAAGACCAGUCCCUUCACUCUCAUAACAGACGGCUCAGAUGAUACAGGACUUGAGAAAAUGAACCCCCUCACUGUCAGGGUGUUUGACGGCAAGGUUGUUCACCAAUUUCUGGACAUGUGCACAACAAGCGGGCAAUGCUGUGGCACUGCCGAAGCCAUUUUCCAGAAGAUCAAUGAUGUCCUCGAAAAACACAACAUAACUGUGUUGCUUUGUCUAUUGACAAUGCCCCAGUCAAUACGGGGGCAAGAAACUCGAUUGCCUCUAGGAUACUGGCAGAGAAUCCCAACGUGUACAUCCAUGGAUGCCCAUGCCAUAUUCUGCAUAACACAGCAAAACAUGCUGGGCAGGGUUUUUUGGAAGUGACUGGAUUUGACCCUGAAGAUCUGGCAGUAGAUGUUGGGCACUGGUUCAGAGGCAGUACGAACUGUAAAGGUUACCUAACAGAAUUCUGUGACUUGCAUGAGUUGGAGUAUAUGGAGAUAUUUUCACAUAUCUCCAUCCGUUGGCUGAGCCUGGAAUGCUGCUUGAAUCGGAUUCUGCAGCAAUACAAGCCACUCUCCAGCUAUUUCAAGUCAGCAAAUGAGAAACAACCACGCUUCACACGACUUGCGCAUGCAUUCUCCAACCCAAUAACAGAAGUCUACCUGCUUUUCUAUCAGGCAACGUUGCCAGCUUUCUCCUCCCUUAAUCUCCUCCUUCAGAGAGAGAAAUCAUCUGUCUUCCUUCUCUAUGAAGAGAUGACCAAGUUCAUUCGCAAGUUUUGCGGAAGAUUCCUGCAAGUUCAGGCACUGCAGAGCAGAGCGGUGGAGGACAUCAAUUAAACAGAUCCAUCCAACCAACUGUCUGGCAAUGCUCCCCAAGUUUCUCCCUAUAUGACAAAAGCUGAACGUGGGUUUUACAACCAGGGCAACCCUCAACCGGCCCCUAGAGGCUGGAGAUGUCACUCCACAGCAGGUGGAGAGAUUCCACCAGGCUGUCUUGGCAUUUUUGACAGGGGCAGUUUAAUAUGCCAUGGCAAAACUGUCCCUUAAAGAGAGUCUCCUGAAACAUGCCAGGUUUGUGGAUGUGCAGCAGAGGGCAGACUGUGAAGUCAAUGAUGCUGCAUACUUUGUGGAUCGGUUCACCAAACUGCUUCCAUAUCAUGAACCCCAAGACCAAGACCAACUUGCAGAGGAGUUUCAGGACUACCAGUUAAUGGAGGUCCCAAUGCCCGAACACCAAACGGAAUUUGACGUUGAGGCUUUCUGGGAAGGCAUGAGUUCACUUAAGAAUAGGGUGACUGGAAUGAGCAGAUUUCCCAGGCUGUCUGCAAUUGCCAAAUUAGUUUUAAUUCUCCCCCACUCCAAUGCAGAUGCUGAGAGGGUUUUUUCCAUGGUGGGCUUGAACAAGACCAAAACAAGAAACGCCUUGGCCCUGGACGAAACCCUCUCAGCAAUCAUGACAGUGAAAAUGGCUGGCAUUGAGCCUCAUUGCUUUAAAUGGGAGCCCCCAGUGUCAGUAAUUAAGGCAUCUAAAUCUGCCACAAACACUUACAACACACAGCAUCACUCAUAAACACACACACACACACACACACACACACACACACACACACACACACACACACACACACACACACACACACACAAUAUCCACCAUUGUUCAGUGGGGCCCUUUGGGGCUAUAUUUGUGUUUUUGCCUUUAUUUAAU
Molecule: long non-coding RNA, 2914 nt
Organism: Neoarius graeffei (lesser salmon catfish)
Lineage: Eukaryota; Metazoa; Chordata; Actinopteri; Siluriformes; Ariidae
Exons: 9
Source: RefSeq, a predicted model, not a curated record